This 1189-nucleotide ribosomal RNA is filed under the name Microbacterium ginsengisoli. RNAcentral describes it as "bacterial SSU rRNA". It matches the Rfam family "Bacterial small subunit ribosomal RNA", at positions 31 to 1264 of the family's 1533-position model. The record is from RNAcentral. Lineage: Bacteria; Bacillati; Actinomycetota; Actinomycetes; Micrococcales; Microbacteriaceae.
AAACAUUACGCGAGCUACCAUGCAGUCGACGGUGAAGAGAGCUUGCUCUUUGGAUCAGUGGCGAACGGGUGAGUAACACGUGAGCAAUCUGCCCCUGACUCUGGGAUAACAGUUGGAAACAGCUGCUAAUACCGGAUACGAGCUUCGAAGGCAUCUUCAGAAGCUGGAAAGAACUUCGGUCAGGGAUGAGCUCGCGGCCUAUCAGCUAGUUGGUGAGGUAAUGGCUCACCAAGGCGUCGACGGGUAGCCGGCCUGAGAGGGUGACCGGCCACACUGGGACUGAGACACGGCCCAGACUCCUACGGGAGGCAGCAGUGGGGAAUAUUGCACAAUGGGCGCAAGCCUGAUGCAGCAACGCCGCGUGAGGGACGACGGCCUUCGGGUUGUAAACCUCUUUUAGCAGGGAAGAAGCGAAAGUGACGGUACCUGCAGAAAAAGCGCCGGCUAACUACGUGCCAGCAGCCGCGGUAAUACGUAGGGCGCAAGCGUUAUCCGGAAUUAUUGGGCGUAAAGAGCUCGUAGGCGGUUUGUCGCGUCUGCUGUGAAAACUGGAGGCUCAACCUCCAGCCUGCAGUGGGUACGGGCAGACUAGAGUGCGGUAGGGGAGAUUGGAAUUCCUGGUGUAGCGGUGGAAUGCGCAGAUAUCAGGAGGAACACCGAUGGCGAAGGCAGAUCUCUGGGCCGUAACUGACGCUGAGGAGCGAAAGGGUGGGGGAGCAAACAGGCUUAGAUACCCUGGUAGUCCACCCCGUAAACGUUGGGAACUAGUUGUGGGGUCCAUUCCACGGAUUCCGUGACGCAGCUAACGCAUUAAGUUCCCCGCCUGGGGAGUACGGCCGCAAGGCUAAAACUCAAAGGAAUUGACGGGGACCCGCACAAGCGGCGGAGCAUGCGGAUUAAUUCGAUGCAACGCGAAGAACCUUACCAAGGCUUGACAUAUACGAGAACGGGCCAGAAUGGUCACUCUUUGGACACUCGUAAACAGUGGUGCAUGUUGUCGUCAGCUCGUGUCGUGAGAUGUUGGGUUAGUCCCGCACGAGCGCACCCUCGUCUAUGUGCAGCACGUAUGUGGGACUCAUGGCAUACUGCGGGUCACUCGAAGAAGGUGGGGAUGACGUCAUCAUCAUGGCCGUAUGUCUGGACUUCAGCAUGCUACAUGCCGUACAAAGGCCUGCCAUUACCGCAGUGA